CUUCGAAAGGAGUGACAAAACCGCAUAAGCUAGUGCUAGUUAGAGAGGCAUUAGUAAAAGAGCAAUCUACUUUAGGAGGGGCCUGCGGCCCAUCAGCUAGUUGGUGAGGUAAAAGCCCACCAAGGCGAAGACGGGUAGGGGACCUAAGAGGGUGAUCCCCCACAAUGGAACUGAAACACGGUCCAUACACCUGCGGGUGGCAGCAGUAGGGAAUAUUGCUUAAUGGGCGAAAGCCUGAAGCAGCAACGCCGCGUGAACGAAGAAAGCCUUCGGGUCGUAAAGUUCUUUUACGUGGGAUGAGGAAGGACAGUACCACGAGAAUAAGUCUCGGCUAACUACGUGCCAGCAGCCGCGGUAAAACGUAGGAGACGAGCGUUAUCCGGAUUUACUGGGCGUAAAGCGCGUGUAGGAGGCGCUACAAGUUGGAUGUGAAAGCUCCCGGCUUAACUGGGAGAGGUCGUUCAAGACUGUAGUGCUAGAGUGAGGCAGAGGUAGAUGGAACUCCGGGAGUAGUGGUGAAAUGCGUAGAUAUCCGGAAGAACACCAGAGGCGAAAGCGAUCUACUGGGCCUAAACUGACACUGAGACGCGAAAGCCAGGGUAGCAAACGGGAUUAGAGACCCCGGUAGUCCUGGCCGUAAACGAUGUAGACUGAGCGUUGGUUGGGUAAAACCAAUCAGUGCUGAAGCAAACGCGAUAAGUCUACCGCCUGGGGAGUACGGUCGCAAGAUUAAAACUCAAAAGAAUUGACGGA
RNAcentral lists this ribosomal RNA (753 nucleotides) under uncultured bacterium. Its description in RNAcentral is "bacterial SSU rRNA". It matches the Rfam family "Bacterial small subunit ribosomal RNA", at positions 149 to 917 of the family's 1533-position model. The record is from RNAcentral.